RNAcentral lists this ribosomal RNA (292 nucleotides) under uncultured bacterium. Its description in RNAcentral is "partial 16S ribosomal RNA". It matches the Rfam family "Bacterial small subunit ribosomal RNA", at positions 505 to 796 of the family's 1533-position model. The record is from RNAcentral.
GUGUCAGCAGCCGCGGUAAUACAGAGGUCUCAAGCGUUGUUCGGAUUCAUUGGGCGUAAAGGGUGCGUAGGUGGUGACGCAAGUCUGGUGUGAAAUCUCGGAGCUCAACUCCGAAAUUGCACCGGAUACUGCGUGACUCGAGGACUGUAGAGGAGAUCGGAAUUCACGGUGUAGCAGUGAAAUGCGUAGAUAUCGUGAGGAAGACCAGUUGCGAAGGCGGAUCUCUGGGCAGUUCCUGACACUGAGGCACGAAGGCCAGGGGAGCAAACGGGAUUAGAAACCCUGGUAGUCC